CCUGUGGAUUGUCAAACAAACCGUAGUAGCGGGAAUGCGGCGAGGCGGGACAGGAUGAAGCAGGAA
RNAcentral lists this small RNA (66 nucleotides) under Aneurinibacillus migulanus. Its description in RNAcentral is "RAGATH-18 RNA". It matches the Rfam family "RAGATH-18 RNA". From Rfam's summary of the family: Actinobacteria, Firmicutes, Fusobacteria, Thermotogae (1 example). Nearby to self-cleaving ribozyme genes The record is from Rfam by way of RNAcentral. Lineage: Bacteria; Bacillati; Bacillota; Bacilli; Caryophanales; Paenibacillaceae.